Molecule: unclassified non-coding RNA, 2521 nt
Filed under: Hevea brasiliensis (rubber tree)
Lineage: Eukaryota; Viridiplantae; Streptophyta; Magnoliopsida; Malpighiales; Euphorbiaceae
Source: RNAcentral
GGGGGCUAUUGGUUGAUAUCAACUAUUUCAAGAACCCAGUAAAUGUACUUCGAUUUGCACCUUAUUUUGCGCUUCUUAUUUCUCUACAAGCAAAAUCUAAUAUGGUCGUAAAGUGAACUUUGUCAUUUUCAAACUCAAGUCUGCGGGUUAAAUUUUAAGGAUAUAAUAGUUAGGUUGCAUCAGGAAUAGUCAGAAAUUGAAGAAAAAAGGCAUUCCUAUCUCAAAUUUAGGGGUAGAAAAAUGAGGAAAAAGAAAAAAAGGAGCACACUUCGUGGUUAUCUUUUACUUCAUAUUCCUGGAAUAUAAUCUAAAAGGAAUAAUCAAGCAGAGCACUUGCUUUCAAGUUGUAAUUCCAAGCUUCAGCCGUUGUGAUAGGCCACGAGGGCUCAAAUUGUUGCAAUUUCCAGUAUUAAUUAAUGAAGUGAGCUUUGAUAUCUGAUGUUCACUUGAUUCAUGCUUCCUAUUGUAUUGGAGAUUAUAUAUGGAUUAGAAACACAGGAAAUGGACUUGGCAAAACAAGAUAAAUUAGCUUCAGUUCAUUUAUAUUUACUUCGAUUUAUUACUUUUUACUAAAAUACAGCGAGUAAGAAUUCUUGGACCUUUUUUUUGGUAUUUUGACACUUCAAAGCACUAGGAAACUUAAAUUUAUGGAUGGCAUGAGUUUUCCAGUUGUUGAAUGUUUAUUCUAUUAAUGCUUUGUUCUUGUGAAUGACCUUUUUGGUUUUCCUGUGGAUAGAUGAGGUGCAAUGUCUUGGUUGUUUUUCAAUGAACAUAAAUCCAAUGUGUUUAAGGGUUUCAAAUGGAUUUAAAGCAAGAGCCAAAGCUGCUUCAAAUGCCAAUUUGAAGGCAAUUGAAAUUCCUAGCCAAUGGUACAAUCUCAUUUCAGAUCUUCCCGUGAAACCUCCUCCCCCACUGCAUCCUAAAACUUUUGAACCUGUCAAACCUGAGGAUUUAGCUCCUCUCUUUCCAGAUGAGUUGAUUAAGCAGGAAGCAACCGUUGAAAAAUUCAUAGAUAUCCCAGAAGAAGUUCUUGACAUUUACAGGCUUUGGCGCCCAACUCCAUUAAUUAGGGCCAAGAGGUUGGAGAAACUUCUCGAUACACCAGCCAAAAUUUAUUAUAAAUAUGAAGGUGUAAGCCCAGCUGGAUCACACAAGCCUAACACUGCAGUCCCGCAAGUCUUUUAUAAUGCACAACAAGGCGUCAAGAAUGUUGUGACAGAAACAGGUGCUGGCCAAUGGGGAAGUUCGCUGGCUUUUGCAUGCAGCUUAUUUGGUCUUGACUGUGAGGUGUGGCAGGUUCGAGCUUCUUAUGAUCAGAAACCAUAUCGUAGAUUGAUGAUGGAAACUUGGGGUGCAAAAGUACAUCCAUCUCCUUCAAGCCUUACUGACGCAGGUAGAGAAAUCCUUCAGAAGGAUCCUUCAAGCCCAGGAAGUUUAGGAAUAGCUAUUUCAGAAGCUGUGGAGGUUGCAGCAACAAAUGCUGAUACCAAGUAUUGCCUGGGCAGUGUACUUAAUCAUGUUUUGUUACACCAGACUAUUAUAGGCGAGGAGUGCCUAAAGCAAAUGGAAGCCAUAGGUGAAACCCCUGAUUUGAUCAUAGGUUGUACUGGUGGUGGGUCCAACUUUGCAGGGCUGAGUUUCCCCUUCAUUAGAGAGAAGCUCAGUGGGAAAAUCAACCCUGUCAUAAGAGCAGUUGAACCUACAGCAUGCCCUUCGCUAACAAAGGGUGUUUAUGCGUAUGAUUAUGGUGAUACAGCAGGGCUGACUCCAUUAAUGAAGAUGCAUACACUCGGGCAUGACUUCAUUCCUGACCCUAUUCAUGCUGGGGGCUUGCGAUACCAUGGUAUGGCACCAUUGAUUUCACAUGUCCAUGAAUUGGGUUUCAUGGAAGCAAUUGCAAUUCCUCAGACUGAGUGCUUUCAAGGUGCCUUACAAUUUGCUAGAUCUGAAGGGAUAAUACCUGCACCAGAACCAACUCAUGCAAUUGCUGCCACCAUCAGGGAGGCUAUCCAUUGUAGAGAAACUGGAGAAGCAAAGGUUAUUCUCAUGGCAAUGUGUGGACAUGGCCAUUUUGACCUAACGUCUUACGAAAAGUAUUUGCGAGGAAAUAUGGUGGACUUGUCAUUUGCAGAAGAGAAAAUACAAGCAUCAUUAGCCAGAGUUCCUCAGGUAGCAUGAAGUGAAGCAAACAUGAAAGAUGCUAUGUAAAAUGAACUUUGAGAUGAAAAAGAAUUAGAAGGUGACAAAGUUUCAUAACCGUGAUGCCUGUUUAAAGUUUCAUAAUCGUGAUGCCUGUUUAGCAUUAAGAAUAAUAUUCAGAAUAACGUGAUGCUAAGAAAUGUUUUACGACUUUGCACUUGGUUUUUCAAUUUUUUUAGAGCUAAAAUUUGCGAUUCUGUUGGACAAGUUCUUGGUGAUAAUGACCCAGGAUCCCUUUUACUUGUAACAUUAUGUUAUAUGUAUUUAGUUAAGCAUAGAAUUGCAAAUGUUACACUUUUGAAUAAAGAUAUUACUAUUCUAA